AAAAAAAAAAAAAAAAUACAUUAUUAAAACAUGUUUGGUUUUGUUAUUUGAUGUAGUGAAGAGAAAGGCAAAUCACCACAACAAGUGAAAAUCACAAAAGUGGGUUUUUACUUCGUUUCAUCAAAUAGGUUUUCGUACUUGCAACUUUUAACCAUUGAACCACCAGCUCCAAAAAAAAAAAAUUGUGGCUACAGGCCCUUAAUUUUUGCUAGCUUUAGUUACACUCUGUGAAGCAUGGAAAUUCCAAUCAUUGGAGUUUUAAUUUUUGCUAGCUUUAGUUACACUCUGUGAAGCAUGGAAAUUCCAAUCAUUGGAGUU
RNAcentral lists this unclassified non-coding RNA (318 nucleotides) under Hevea brasiliensis (rubber tree). The record is from RNAcentral. Lineage: Eukaryota; Viridiplantae; Streptophyta; Magnoliopsida; Malpighiales; Euphorbiaceae.